UUGGUCCAGUUCAGAAGUUCCCGGUUCCACCUGGUGAGGAGGUGCAGAAGGCACACCUCUUUAUUGGCUUCUGAGCUCCAUUUUAAACUCCUGACAUAAGUGACUAUUUAAUACCAGGUUUUACAAGACCAUGCCCGUGGGAGCGGAGUCUUGUGACAGAAGAGUGGGCAAAAGCCAGCAUGCAGUAGGAGGCAGAAACUCCUCCCGCCUUCUGCCCAACUGAGGCAGCAACCACAGUCUUCCUGGAGAGAUGACGCUUGCUUGAACUGGAGGAAUUGAUGAAUGACAUUUCGAGGAGAAGAGAGCACAGUACCCUUCUAGAACAGCAUGAACUGAACCAAAGCACAGAGCUUCCAUCUCCAACCAUUUCUCGCACCUGUCUGAGGGCUCCUGAAUGCCAGUGUGACUAAUGAGUGCCAGAAGCAGCAGAUGGGAAGAUUUCUUGUUAAUACAAACGGAAAAAUGAUCAUCUUUCUAAUGGAAAAAAACCUGACACCGAGCACCUCAACCCAAGUGAUCAAAAUUAAUGUCACCAACAAUGGGACAACCUGACAUCAUGGGCUUGCUGACUGGAGGUCAUGGAAGGACACAGCAUUUCUUACACACUAUACCUGCUAGAAAAUGCAUAACCUGCAUGGAAAUGUGAGGAACUACCAUACAAACUUUUAACAGUUGGGCUGUACUCUUUUAAAAAUGUCAAUGUCAUAAAAGACAAUGAAAGUCUAAGAAAUUGUUCCAGAUUAAAAGAAACUAAAGAAACAAGACAACCAAAUGAAAUGUGUUCUCUUGGGUUGGAUUCUGAAUUGGGUAUGGGGGUGGGGAAGAUUGUCAUAAUGGACAUUAUUAGGACCUUUUUUUUUUUUUGUAAAACUUUUUUUUUUUUUUUCAACACAGUAAGUGUACUCUUGGAUUCCCAUCACCUAUUUUACCCAUCCUCCCUACCAGACCCAUCUCCCUUCUGGUAACCAUCAAUCUGUUCUCUAUAGUUAAGGGUCUGUUUCUUGGCUUGUCUCUUUUUUUGUUUUCCUUUGUUCAUUUGUCUUGUCUCUUAAAUUCCACAUAUAAAUGAAAUCAGAUGGUAUUUGUCUUUCUGACUGGCUUAUUUCGCUUAGUGUUUUAUUCUCUAGUUUCAUCCAUGUUGUUGUAAAUGGCAACUUUUCAUUCUUUUUA
Molecule: long non-coding RNA, 1170 nt
Organism: Mustela lutreola (European mink)
Lineage: Eukaryota; Metazoa; Chordata; Mammalia; Carnivora; Mustelidae
Exons: 4
Source: RefSeq, a predicted model, not a curated record